Molecule: long non-coding RNA, 431 nt
Filed under: Musa acuminata (dwarf banana)
Lineage: Eukaryota; Viridiplantae; Streptophyta; Magnoliopsida; Zingiberales; Musaceae
Description: long non-coding RNA (MACU_LNC007750)
Source: RNAcentral
UACAUGUACGAGACACGACAGCUUUACGUAGUCAACCUCACUGCAUCACCGUAAUGAUAACCCACCACCACCACCCGAGCAAUGCAGAGAACGAUGUAGGAAGGGGAGAACUCGGAAGAGGAAAGGGGGGGGGGGGAGUGUGGAAGGAGGGAGGGAGUCAAAGGCGAAGCAUAUCGAGGAGCCAUUGAAUGCGGUUGCUGGGAGUCUUCUCAUGCACUCCCGCUGCUGCACACUUAGAAGUGAAAUCCCGGCGUCCCUGCGGCCUACUGUUGCCCUCUUUGUUUCCUUCUUCUCUCUUUCUGUGGAACUUGUCCGGAGAGGACAGGAAAUAAUUGCUCGCAAAUUUGGAUCUCUCUGCCGUCCUCGCCACCAUCAUUCCAUCUGCAGCAAUUCCCAUCAUUCCUUCUGCCACCCUUUUCUCUCUCUCUCUC